GGGGGAUAUUGCGCAAUGGGGGAAACCCUGACGCAGCAACGCCGCGUGAAGGAUGAAGGUUUUCGGAUUGUAAACUUCUUUUAUUUAGGACGAAGAAUGACGGUACUAAAUGAAUAAGCUCCGGCUAACUACGUGCCAGCAGCCGCGGUAAUACGUAGGGAGCAAGCGUUAUCCGGAUUUACUGGGUGUAAAGGGUGCGUAGGCGGCUUGGUAAGUCAGAUGUGAAAUGUAUGGGCUCAACCCAUGCACUGCAUUUGAAACUAUUGAGCUUGAGUGAAGUAGAGGUAGGCGGAAUUCCCUGUGUAGCGGUGAAAUGCGUAGAGAUAGGGAGGAACACCAGUGGCGAAGGCGGCCUACUGGGCUUUAACUGACGCUGAGGCACGAAAGCGUGGGUAGCAAACAGGAUUAGAUACCCUGGUAGUCCACGCUGUAAACGAUGAUUACUAGGUGUGGGGGGUCUGACCCCUUCCGUGCCGGAGUUAACACAAUAAGUAAUCCACCUGGGGAGUACGACCGCAAGGUUGAAACUCAAAGGAAUUGACGGGGGCCCGCACAAGCAGUGGAGUAUGUGGUUUAAUUCGAAGCAACGCGAAGAACCUUACCAGGUCUUGACAUCGAGUGACGAAUCUAGAGAUAGAUUUUUCCUUCGGGACACAAAGACAGGUGGUGCAUGGUUGUCGUCAGCUCGUGUCGUGAGAUGUUGGGUUAAGUCCCGCAACGAGCGCAACCCUUAUUGCCAGUUACUACGCAAGAGGACUCUGGCGAGACUGCCGUUGACAAAACGGAGGAAGGUGGGGAUGACGUCAAAUCAUCAUGCCCUUUAUGACCUGGGCUACACACGUACUACAAUGGCGUUUAACAAAGAGAAGCAAGACCGCGAGGUGGAGCAAAACUCAAAAACAACGUCUCAGUUCAGAUUGCAGGCUGCAACUCGCCUGCAUGAAGUCGGAAUUGCUAGUAAUCGCGGAUCAGCAUGCCGCGGUGAAUACGUUCCCG
Molecule: ribosomal RNA, 996 nt
Filed under: uncultured bacterium
Lineage: Bacteria
Description: bacterial SSU rRNA
Rfam family: Bacterial small subunit ribosomal RNA
Source: RNAcentral